This 427-nucleotide ribosomal RNA is filed under the name uncultured prokaryote. Its description in RNAcentral is "bacterial SSU rRNA". It matches the Rfam family "Bacterial small subunit ribosomal RNA", at positions 355 to 774 of the family's 1533-position model. The record is from RNAcentral.
UCGAGGAUCAUUCGCAAUGGGGGAAACCCUGACGAUGCGACGCUGCGUGGAGGAUGAAGGCCCUCGGGUUGUAAACUCCUGUCAUGAGGGGAGAGGCGGAGGCGGCGAACAGCCGCCCGAGUUGACGGUACCUCAAGAGGAAGCCACGGCUAACUCUGUGCCAGCAGCCGCGGUAAUACAGAGGUGGCGAGCGUUGUUCGGAUUUACUGGGCGUAAAGGGCGCGUAGGCGGCGCGGUGUGUCGGGUGUGAAAUCCAUGGGCUCAACCCAUGAAGUGCGCCCGAAACUGCCGCGCUCGAGUUCGGGAGGGGGGAUCGGAAUGCAGGGUGUAGCGGUGAAAUGCGUUGAUAUCCUGCAGAACACCGGAGGCGAAGGCGGAUCCCUGGAACGACACUGACGCUGAGGCGCGAAAGCAGGGGGAGCAAACA